GAUGAACGCUGGCGGCGUGCUUAACACAUGCAAGUCGAACGAAGCACCUUAUUCUGAUUUCUUCGGAAUGAAAAAUUUGGUGACUGAGUGGCGGACGGGUGAGUAACGCGUGGGUAACCUGCCUCAUACAGGGGGAUAACAGUUAGAAAUGACUGCUAAUACCGCAUAAGACCACAGCACCGCAUGGUGCAGGGGUAAAAACUCCGGUGGUAUGAGAUGGACCCGCGUCUGAUUAGGUAGUUGGUGGGGUAACGGCCUACCAAGCCGACGAUCCGAAGCCGACCUGAGAGGGUGACCGGCCACAUUGGGACUGAGACACGGCCCAAACUCCUACGGGAGGCAGCAGUGGGGAAUAUUGCAAAAUGGGGGAAACCCUGAUGCAGCGACGCCGCGUGAGCGAUGAAGUAUUUCGGUAUGUAAAGCUCUAUCAGCAGGGAAGAAAAUGACGGUACCUGACUAAGAAGCACCGGCUAAAUACGUGCCAGCCGCCGCAGUAA
RNAcentral lists this ribosomal RNA (497 nucleotides) under uncultured bacterium. RNAcentral describes it as "partial 16S ribosomal RNA". It matches the Rfam family "Bacterial small subunit ribosomal RNA", at positions 28 to 523 of the family's 1533-position model. The record is from RNAcentral.